Long non-coding RNA from Glycine soja, 1579 nucleotides. RefSeq lists it as uncharacterized. The transcript is spliced from 3 exons. The record is from RefSeq and is a predicted model, not a curated record. Lineage: Eukaryota; Viridiplantae; Streptophyta; Magnoliopsida; Fabales; Fabaceae.
ACUCAUAGCAUCUUUGGAUUUGAGUCCAAGAUCACAUUCAUGCAAAUCUGCACCAAAAUUCAUAUAUAUUCACACUCUCCUUGUAUCUCAUUUUCAUCCCAUUUUCUUUUUAUUUCUCUUUACAUUUUUCAUCAUAUCACUUAUUUAUUUUUCUAUCUUUUCUCUCUAUUCUUCAACCCCAAAUGUACUUCAAAAACAGAGUAGACUUUUAUAAUUUUCCUUAAAAAAUAAUGUAUGAAUACUCAUAUAUAUCAAACACUCUAUUGAUACCUAUUAUUUUUUUUCCUAUCUCUCUCCUCUCUUUCUUUCUCUCCCUAAUGCAGUGUUUGGAAUGUAAUGAGUUUUGUUCUGUCACAUCUGGAGAGAAAACAAAGGAAAGCAUGUGCAAGUAUCAAAAGAUGAGAAAUAGUGAAGGGUCAACUUUUUUUUUUUUAAUCGACAAAUGUUAGUUGGUUAGUUUGGUUAGAAAUGUAAGUUGGCAGGAUUCGAACCGGCGACCUUUCUCCUCUCCCUUCAACCAUUGAACCAACCUUAUAUCUCCUAAUGAGUCAAUUUGUGAGCUCAGAUUAACAAGAUAUGUUGCGAAAUGAUGACAAUGUCAACUUGGGUAAGCUCCGGCCCCAGUGACAAAGUACUGAAACCACAGCACUGCCUAAUGUGGUGAGGGCGGCAGCGAUGGCGAUGGCACACUACUCAAAUUGUUAGAUGCUCAAAUCUUUGUUACCACAGAGAGGCCAAUGUGUUUCAAGUUUCAACAGAAUUGAAACACAUAUUGGUCUUUUUGUAGUGACGAAGAUUCAAGCAUCCAAUGCCAAUUUGGAUAUAAAGGUGGAGGGUCAGAUCAACGAGAAACUAUUAACUGGUCUUGGACCACCGUGUUCCGGCUAAUCAUGAUAUGGAAUUCAGAAGCCAGUAACAUGCCCUCAUUGUGCUAAUAUUCGGAGGCAGGCGGCGGCAUAGCAGAAAGUUUUGCAAUUGUACCUCUAUUACUUAAGUGCUUCUUUACAUGUUUGGCAGAGCAAAUCCUGUAAAGAAUGGGGCAUAUGCUGAAUUUUCUCAGUAGUAUUCCUUUGGAGACAAUCCUAUUCAAAGAAGGGUCCGACACUAAGUGUGUGCAACUCUCCCUGCUGGACGAAUUUGUCACAUUGCUAGGGACUAGUCCUUCUGCUAAACUCAACUCCCGUCGGUAGCUCGGGCCAUCUUUGCUCGGGUUUCCGGUGUUAGCCACUUUUAGUAUGUUUAUGGGUAUGUCUUGUUAAAACUUGGGAAAUCUAUAGUUAAGGAAUGUUCCAUAUUUUUAUUCCUGUAAAAGUUGCAUAUCAUAAUAUACAACAGUUUGCUGGCGGUUAAGUCCUUGUUAAGUUUAUACCUUAGGCUUUUGGAGAGUCAGUUCUUGGCAUAUGACGUUAGAGCCUCUUUGACAAAUUUGUUAUGGGAGUUUCUCCUUGCUGCACCAUUCUUGUAAGUUGAAUUUUGACAAUGUAAAAUGGACAUGUGCACUGUCCACGCAUUAAUCCUAACGUGUUCAUUCUUGUAUUUUUCGUAUUAGUGUUAUUUAUAUGAAUUAUUAUAACAAUUA